GCCACUUGACUGUGGAAAGGUAGAGGCAACAUUCCUUCAACGAUGUUCUCAAAGUCGGAGAGCAUUCUUAGGGUCUUGCUCGUCCGACUUAUUUGGGGAUCGGACUCGAGUMUGCUGCGUAAUCCUUCCACUWGUUGUGGAAAGGUAGAGGCAACAUUCGUUCAACGAUGUUCUCAAAGUCGGAGAGCGUUCUUAGGGUCARGCCCCGAGGCAACCAAAUGGGCCACGAGGAUAUAUAUCAUGAGCGACAUCCAAAACCAWUAACGAGAGCRAGGCUGCCUUGAUAGCACCGGGCASRAGAACCAGCACCACGAGGCAACGCCACAAUCGCCAUAUGGCCGCAGCARCACACCCAAAGGCGUCCACCACGAGGCAACUAUGUAUGAAGCACCAAUACCCAUAGGUCAGGUAACAUCACGCAAGCACUUGAAAGGCAAAGUAAGAUAGCUCACACAAAUGGCAAGACACGGCGCCAAUAGUCGGCCGCACA
RNAcentral lists this unclassified non-coding RNA (490 nucleotides) under Anthoxanthum odoratum. RNAcentral's name for it is "partial external transcribed spacer". Lineage: Eukaryota; Viridiplantae; Streptophyta; Magnoliopsida; Poales; Poaceae. The record is from RNAcentral.